UUCCCUGUAGUGCAAUGGAUAGCACCUUGGAUUUCUUAUCCAAAGAUCGUGGGUUCGAAUCACACUUGAGAUG
Molecule: non-coding RNA, 73 nt
Organism: Trichonephila clavata
Lineage: Eukaryota; Metazoa; Arthropoda; Arachnida; Araneae; Nephilidae
Source: the annotation of a GenBank genome assembly